AUUAUUUGUCCGAACUUAUUACUUUGGGAAUGGAAGAAUCGAAAGUGUAGAGGCAAGCUAAGAGAAAAAAAGAACCCCAAAAUUCCCAAACUGCAGAAGAAAGAAAACAAAAACUGUGAAAUUUUCUAAUUGAAGAAGGAGUUGAUGAACUGUAAAAAGUAGAUCGACUUGUUGAAUUUAGAUCCCUUAUUGCUGCUACAGUGCAUCUGUGGAAUUGACAAGGGUUUCCAAAUAAAGAGGUGGGUAAUCGAAUGAGCAAGGAGAUUUGCGAUCUAUGCCUGAAGCAAGUUACCAAGUGGAGGGAUGCAAUAAAGGAUGCUUUACACAUCAAAUUCAAGGUGGAUUUAGCCAUGGAGCAUUUGAAGAAACUUGCUUGCGCUUACAUCAGUUAGAUGGAGAAUUGAAAGCUGGAUACUGUGUUUUUGAGGAUAUCAAAUUUUGAGGCUCAGUUGAGUGCUGGGAAAGAAAAACAGGCUAAGAUAUGUGAACAGUCCAAGGUGUUCAUAGAUGCUGUACAAGAGUUUAACGGUAAGACAAUCAGCUCUGGUUUGUUUCAGAGUUUAGAAGCUUGGUUGAGCUCGGUCUAGCUCUAUCAACUUUCACUUUUUAACGUUCCAGGUCAAUUUAAGAUACAAAUUGAAUUGCUCAGGUUUGCAAUUGGGCUCAUUUACCUUAUAA
Molecule: long non-coding RNA, 678 nt
Organism: Gossypium arboreum
Lineage: Eukaryota; Viridiplantae; Streptophyta; Magnoliopsida; Malvales; Malvaceae
Exons: 3
Source: RefSeq, a predicted model, not a curated record